GUGCUUGCUUUGGCAGCAUAUAUACUAAAAUUGGAAUGAUACAGAAUUGCAUGGCCCUGCACAAGGAUGACACGCAAAUUUGUGAAGUGUCCCAUAUUUUU
RNAcentral lists this small nuclear RNA (101 nucleotides) under Dasypus novemcinctus (nine-banded armadillo). The record is from RNAcentral. Lineage: Eukaryota; Metazoa; Chordata; Mammalia; Cingulata; Dasypodidae.